Molecule: ribosomal RNA, 433 nt
Filed under: uncultured bacterium
Lineage: Bacteria
Description: partial 16S ribosomal RNA
Rfam family: Bacterial small subunit ribosomal RNA
Source: RNAcentral
AACGAACGCUGGCGGCAGGCUUAACACAUGCAAGUCGAGCGAGACCUUCGGGUCUAGCGGCGGACGGGUGAGUAACGCGUGGGAACGUGCCCUUCUCUACGGAAUAGCCCCGGGAGACUGGGAGUAAUACCGUAUACGCCCUUUGGGGGAAAGAUUUAUCGGAGAAGGAUCGGCCCGCGUUGGAUUAGGUAGUUGGUGGGGUAAUGGCCCACCAAGCCGACGAUCCAUAGCUGGUUUGAGAGGAUGAUCAGCCACACUGGGACUGAGACACGGCCCAGACUCCUACGGGAGGCAGCAGUGGGGAAUCUUAGACAAUGGGGGCAACCCUGAUCUAGCCAUGCCGCGUGAGUGAUGAAGGCCUUAGGGUUGUAAAGCUCUUUCAGCUGGGAAGAUAAUGACGGUACCAGCAGAAGAAGCCCCGGCUAACUCCGUG